This 266-nucleotide unclassified non-coding RNA is filed under the name uncultured fungus. RNAcentral describes it as "partial contains small subunit ribosomal RNA, internal transcribed spacer 1, and 5.8S ribosomal RNA". The stretch from base 1 to 73 matches the Rfam family "Eukaryotic small subunit ribosomal RNA", at positions 1759 to 1831 of the family's 1831-position model. Lineage: Eukaryota; Fungi. The record is from RNAcentral.
GCAAACUUGGUCAUUUAGAGGAAGUAAAAGUCGUAACAAGGUUUCCGUAGGUGAACCUUCGGAAGGAUCAUUACCAAAUGCUGCCCUGCUUUUGUGGGGUUUGCUGAAACUACCCUUGUCUUUGGCACCGUUGUUUCCUCGGCAGGUUCGCCUGCCAACGGGGACUCCACCAACCUUUUGUAGUAGCAAUUUUUGUCAGGAAAAGCAAACAAAUCAAAACUUUCAACAACGGAUCUCUUGGUUCUGGCAUCGAUGAAGAACGCAGC